This 464-nucleotide ribosomal RNA is filed under the name uncultured Bacteroidota bacterium. Its description in RNAcentral is "bacterial SSU rRNA". It matches the Rfam family "Bacterial small subunit ribosomal RNA", at positions 335 to 795 of the family's 1533-position model. The record is from RNAcentral. Lineage: Bacteria; Pseudomonadati; Bacteroidota.
ACUCCUACGGGAGGCAGCAGUGAGGAAUAUUGGUCAAUGGUCGCAAGACUGAACCAGCCAUGCCGCGUGCAGGAUGACGGUCCUAUGGAUUGUAAACUGCUUUUGUACGGGAAGAAACACUCCUACGUGUAGGGGCUUGACGGUACCGUAAGAAUAAGGAUCGGCUAACUCCGUGCCAGCAGCCGCGGUAAUACGGAGGAUCCGAGCGUUAUCCGGAAUCAUUGGGUUUAAAGGGUCCGUAGGCGGCCCUGUAAGUCAGCGGUGAAAUCUCCCGGCUCAACCGGGAAACUGCCGUUGAUACUGCAGGGCUUGAAUUGCCGGGAAGUAACUAGGAAUAUGUAGUGUAGCGGUGAAAUGCUUAGAUAUUACAUGGAAUACCGAUUGCGAAGGCAGGUUACUACCGGCGUAUUGACGCUGAUGGACGAAAGCGUGGGGAGCGAACAGGAUUAGAUACCCUGGUAGUC